RNAcentral lists this ribosomal RNA (329 nucleotides) under uncultured eukaryote. Its description in RNAcentral is "partial 18S ribosomal RNA". It matches the Rfam family "Eukaryotic small subunit ribosomal RNA", at positions 1470 to 1796 of the family's 1831-position model. The record is from RNAcentral.
CCCUUAGAUGUCCUGGGCCGCACGCGCGCUACACUGAGUGUCUGAGAUACGAGUCUGCCUGGUCCGGCCAGGUCUAGGUAAUCGCUAAAAGACACAUCAUGCUUGGGAUAGAUUAUUGCAAAUAUUAAUCUUGAACGAGGAAUUCCUAGUAAGCGCAAGUCAACAGCUUGCGUUGAUUACGUCCCUGCCCUUUGUACACACCGCCCGUCGCUACUACUGAUUGGAUGUUUAAGCGAGGUUCUCGAACUGCUAGCGACUUAGCUUCGGUGAGGUCGCAGUGUGGGAAGUGAACCUAGCUUUGGUGUCUAGAGGAAGUAAAAGUCGUAACA